AUUGAACGCUGGCGGCAGGCCUAACACAUGCAAGUCGAACGAGUGGCGGACGGGUGAGUAAUGUCUGGGAAACUGACUGAUGGAGGGGGAUAACUACUGGAAACGGUAGCUAAUACCGCAUACCAUCGGAUGUGCACAGAUGGGAUUAGCUAGUAGGUGGGGGAAAGGCUCACCUAGGCGCAGAUACCUAUCUGGUUUGAGAGGAUGACCAGCCACACUUGAACUGAGACACGGUCCAGACUCCUACGGGAGGCAUCGGUGGGGAAUGUUGAACAAGUGGCGCAAGCCUGAUGCAGCCAUGCGGCGUGUAUGAAGAAGGCCUUCGGGUUGUAAAGUACGUGCAGCGGGGAGGCGUUACCCGCAGAAGAAGCACCGGCUAACUCCGUGCCAGCAGCCGCGGUAAUAC
RNAcentral lists this ribosomal RNA (406 nucleotides) under uncultured bacterium. RNAcentral's name for it is "partial 16S ribosomal RNA". It matches the Rfam family "Bacterial small subunit ribosomal RNA", at positions 30 to 526 of the family's 1533-position model. The record is from RNAcentral.